GCGCCAGACCACAGAAUUAGCAUUCAGCACACCUGCUUGGCUUGGCUUCUUCUCGGAGAGACUCCUUUUGAACUCGUUCUUGUCUCCUGUCGCCUGGGACAGGUGCAGUCUCUGGGGCUUUGUACUCUGCAUGCACUGCCACACGGGGAUGGGUUUUCACCUGGUGCUGGCCCCACCCCCCACCAGUUCUGCAUACUAAUACUGCAGCAUCCCUUUCUCCU
RNAcentral lists this long non-coding RNA (221 nucleotides) under Homo sapiens (human). Its description in RNAcentral is "HSALNT0237968". Lineage: Eukaryota; Metazoa; Chordata; Mammalia; Primates; Hominidae. The record is from RNAcentral.